Molecule: ribosomal RNA, 1287 nt
Filed under: metagenome
Description: bacterial SSU rRNA
Rfam family: Bacterial small subunit ribosomal RNA
Source: RNAcentral
UAGCUAGUUGGUGAGGUAAAGGCUUACCAAGGCGACGAUCUGUAGCGGGUCUGAGAGGAUGAUCCGCCACACUGGAACUGAGACACGGUCCAGACUCCUACGGGAGGCAGCAGAGGGGAAUUUUGGACAAUGGGGGCAACCCUGAUCCAGCCAUGCCGCGUGAGUGAAGAAGGCCUUCGGGUUGUAAAGCUCUUUCGGCCGGGAAGAAAUCGCAUGGGCCAAUACCCUGUGUGGAUGACGGUACCGGAAUAAGAAGCACCGGCUAACUACGUGCCAGCAGCCGCGGUAAUACGUAGGGUGCGAGCGUUAAUCGGAAUUACUGGGCGUAAAGCGUGCGCAGGCGGUUUUGUAAGACAGGCGUGAAAUCCCCGGGCUUAACCUGGGAACUGCGUUUGUGACUGCAAGGCUAGAGUACGGCAGAGGGGGGUGGAAUUCCACGUGUAGCAGUGAAAUGCGUAGAGAUGUGGAGGAACACCAAUGGCGAAGGCAGCCCCCUGGGUCGAUACUGACGCUCAUGCACGAAAGCGUGGGUAGCAAACAGGAUUAGAUACCCUGGUAGUCCACGCCCUAAACUAUGUCAACUAGGUGUUGGGUGGGUAAAACCAUUUAGUACCGUAGCUAACGCGUGAAGUUGACCGCCUGGGGAGUACGGCCGCAAGGUUAAAACUCAAAGGAAUUGACGGGGACCCGCACAAGCGGUGGAUGAUGUGGAUUAAUUCGAUGCAACGCGAAAAACCUUACCUACCCUUGACAUGCCAGGAACUUGCCAGAGAUGGCUUGGUGCCCGAAAGGGAGCCUGGACACAGGUGCUGCAUGGCUGUCGUCAGCUCGUGUCGUGAGAUGUUGGGUUAAGUCCCGCAACGAGCGCAACCCUUGUCGUUAAUUGCCAUCAUUUAGUUGGGCACUUUAACGAGACUGCCGGUGACAAACCGGAGGAAGGUGGGGAUGGCGUCAAGUCCUCAUGGCCCUUAUGGGUAGGGCUUCACACGUCAUACAAUGGUCGGUACAAAGGGUUGCCAAGCCGCGAGGCGGAGCCAAUCCCAGAAAGCCGAUCGUAGUCCGGAUUGCAGGCUGCAACUCGCCUGCAUGAAGUCGGAAUCGCUAGUAAUCGUGGAUCAGCAUGUCACGGUGAAUACGUUCCCGGGUCUUGUACACACCGCCCGUCACACCAUGGGAGCGGGUUCCGCCAGAAGUAGGUAGCCUAACCGCGAGGGGGGCGCUUACCACGGCGGGGUUCGUGACUGGGGUGAAGUCGAAACAAGGUAGCCGUAGGGGAACCUGCGGCUG